AUUGAACGCUGGCGGCAUGCUUUACACAUGCAAGUCGAACGGCAGCGCGGGCUUCGGCCUGGCGGCGAGUGGCGAACGGGUGAGUAAUGCAUCGGAACGUGCCCAGUAGUGGGGGAUAGCCCGGCGAAAGCCGGAUUAAUACCGCAUACGACCUGAGGGUGAAAGCGGGGGACCGAAGGGCCGCGCGCUAUUGGCGCGGCCGAUGUCGGAUUAGCUAGUUGGUGGGGUAAAGGCUUACCAAGGCGACUAUCCGUAGCUGGUCUGAGAGGACGACCAGCCACACUGGGACUGAGACACGGCCCAGACUCCUACGGGAGGCAGCAGUGGGGAAUUUUGGACAAUGGGGGCAACCCUGAUCCAGCCAUGCCGCGUGCGGGAAGAAGGCCUUCGGGUUGUAAACCGCUUUUGUUCGGGAAGAAAUCCUCUGGGCUAAUACCCCGGGGGGAUGACGGUACCGGAAGAAUAAGCACCGGCUAACUACGUG
RNAcentral lists this ribosomal RNA (484 nucleotides) under uncultured bacterium. RNAcentral describes it as "partial 16S ribosomal RNA". It matches the Rfam family "Bacterial small subunit ribosomal RNA", at positions 28 to 507 of the family's 1533-position model. The record is from RNAcentral.